This is a long non-coding RNA of Octopus sinensis (East Asian common octopus), 114 nucleotides long. RefSeq lists it as uncharacterized. Lineage: Eukaryota; Metazoa; Mollusca; Cephalopoda; Octopoda; Octopodidae. The record is from RefSeq and is a predicted model, not a curated record. The transcript is spliced from 2 exons.
GAUCCGACUGCCGCACACCAGGGCUGCUGCGGCGGCUGCUACGACGGCCCGUACGCGUCGGUCUCAGUCUAAUAUUUGCGCCGCGACUAAUGCGGAAGGCCGACUGUAUCGUCG